This is a non-coding RNA of Taeniopygia guttata (zebra finch), 7122 nucleotides long. The record is from RefSeq and is a predicted model, not a curated record. Lineage: Eukaryota; Metazoa; Chordata; Aves; Passeriformes; Estrildidae.
UAACUAAUUAGCAGCAACUAAAACAUCAGUGUGUUAUCAAUAUUAUUCUCAUACAAACCCCAAAACCACAGUACUGUAGCAGUUCCUAAGAAGAGAAUGAGCUCUGUCCCAGCUGAAACCAGGAUAAUCCUGUAGAGAAGUCAGACCCCAUCAUGAGAUUUGAAGUGGAUAAUAGCACAGCUAAAACUGUGAUUUAAGAAAAUUAUCACUGUGUUUGUAAAUAGGCAGGAAAGCCUAUUGGGUUAACCAAGGCCAGAGACAGGCAAGAUGAGGGUAUUAACUCUGUGGAUGGUUUGGAAAGCAACACACUAGAGGUGACACCUAUUCUCCAGUAGACAUCACUGUAUACAUUUUAAUUGCAAAAGAAGGUAAAAUAUUGUUUGGACAAACAUACCAUCUGAAAAGGAAUGUUGAUCUUUAUAGAUUUGCUUGUGAUCAAAAAGAGUCCUUUGCACUACCAUUGCAUUUUAGACUUCUGCUCCAGAUAGAGCUGCAAAAAAUAUGGGUUGUGAGAUUUUUGUUUGUGGAUUUUGUAGUUUCAUUUUGUUUUGUUCUGUUUUAAAUAGAGUUUUCUCUGUAACUGGUAUUUUUACAGAAGUUUUCCCUGAGAGAGGAUCUUGGGAAAAUACCAGCUAAGGAAGUUCCACUGAACUCAGAAAUAUAUAUGAACUGUGUGAACUGCUCCUUUAGGAUGUGUGUGUGGGAGGUAACUUUUCCAGCUGUGACAAGUUUAGUCCUGCUGGCUGGAGGAAAGGGAAUACCAUAGCUAUGAGGCAAGGGAAUGUUUCAGUAAAGCUGAUUUAGGUGUAUAUAGCAUGAAGCACCUAAUGUAGAUCACCAUUGUUCAACAAAGAGGCACAACCUGCUCCUGUAACUUGGAGUCUGGCAAAAGAGAACUUUCUGCAUAUGCUCCCCUCUUCUGUCCCAUUUCUCUGGCUCACAGAGGGAUAUGGACAAACAACUAGUUACUGCUGAAUAAACAAAGGUGUGUGCAGCCUGCUAAUUUCCAAGGAACAGCUUCCACGCACAUGUCUUGCAGUGAAAAAGAAAUAAUUCACAGUAGUCUUACCAUCAGUGGAAGAGGGCUGAGGGCUGGCUGAGCUGCUUUGUGUAUAUCAAUGGCUGUGUGUUUACUGAAGAACCAUGGACAGACUGUAAAUGCCAAUCUCAGUUUGCGACACAGUCACUCUGGCCAGGUGUGUUUUAUGUGAGGCUCCCUUCUCGUCUUUCCUGCUGUCUGACUGUUCACUGCUCACUUUUGGCACAGCAUGACACAUGAAUCUCUGCCUAGCCCUUUACCUUACAAGGGGAGAAACAGGUAGAUUAGUGCAGUUAAGACUGGCUUAUAGAUACUAUGUCUGUCCUCAUCAUGUGACAAUAGAUGUUGGGUAAUUUCCUUCCUCCUUCUGUGCUUAAUUGUCCCAUAUGUACAGUGCAGCUGAUGAAGCCAAGCUCUUAAAUAUAUUAAAUUAUAUAAUGUAACUCUUAACUAUAUAACUCUUAAAUUCUUUAACUUAACUAUAUAACUCUUAAAUUCUUUAACACCUGAAGAUUUAAGAGUAGUAGACAGCUGCAUUUUGCCCCUUUUUAGAGUUACCUUACAAGAGCACUGUUAUUACACAACAGUGUGGAAUAAGCAACUGGAAACAGGCACAGGUACUCUUACUGAAUGUAAAAAUACUACAUUUCUCAAGGUAUUUAUAUUUAUCCUGUUGGAGGUAUUUUACAAAUCAGAAGAGAAGGGUCGGGCUUUUGAAACGUUAUUAAAUUAGGCAAAGUGCAUUCUGCAUUUGGAUCACAACUUAGCUGAUCUCAUGUAAUCAAAUUAAAAAAUACACAAAAUACACUAUAAAUUCAACAGAACAUAUUUUUCUCUAAAGAUAGUAUAUUUGGAACUAGAAAAAUCACUUAUUAUUUGGAACACUUGUCAGUAUCAGGAAGGAAAGCAAUGAGCUACUUAAAUCAUAAGAAAAAUAGUGCAAUGCAUUUAUUUUGUCAUAAAUUGUCUAAAGUGUAGACAAUUUCUAGUGAUGGAAAUUUAGAAAAUACAGAAGAAUAAAUAAAUUAAAUGUAUCAAAGAAUUUGGGAGCCCAAACCUGAAGCACUUAGGCAAGACGAAGUCUUCUUGGAUGAUAUCUCUGAUCUUGUUGGAAGUUGGUGUCAAUGCCAGAGAUUCACUUGUUUUGGUUUAGCCCUUUGCUAUGAGCAGGUGUUUCAUUUACACUUCCAAAAAUUUCUAAUUUUUGAAGAAAAUCCUCUGAAUGUGAAUGCCUUCUUUUCAAAGCUGAUUGUGGAUAAGAUACCUAUCCCUGAGUCAAAGGACCAGUGUAGUCUAAAUGCCUUCGCUAAACUGAUCCAUUGAUAAAUUGAUGUUUCUGUUCUUGUUGCCUAUUUUUUUUUUUCUUUUCAGACUUGCUUCUUUUUGCCUUUUUUCCCCCCCAUUUCUUUAUCUAGUAUAAUUAUUCAGACUGAAUUCAACAGAUAACAUUCUGCCAUGGAAUGUUCUUUUUUUCUGUUGCUCAUGAUUCCUAUGAAUUUUCAGGUUUCAAAAACCCUAGAUACUAUAUGGCUUCUCGUUACCACUUGCUCCUUAGAUAUCCAAUAAAGGGGUACUCUCUUCUCUAAUGCAGGCUUGCUACUUGAAAUUUUGCCACGUGAACCUUUAUUUUCCCUUGAGAUGCUUUUUUCCAAAAUUAUUUUUUUCUUUAAUAAUUUUAUCCUCAAAGGAAGAAAUGUGCCUCUCCUCUUCCUUCAGUCUUUCUGUAACAUUUCAGCUCCAUGUUCAGGAUAUUUUUUUGACCUUUUAUAUCCCCUACAUCUAAUGACAUUUGUUUCAUCAGCUUUAGUAAAGAUGAAUGACCUUUUAACUCUUUAAAAAAAAGCAAAUCCAUUUUCAUCUUUCUUUGCUCUCUUUUCUUGUUAUAGAAGGAAGCUUUACUCUUUCCUUUUACUUGCUUUAAAGUCUCAGAGUGAAAUCCUGGUCCUUAUUAAGUUUAGGGAAAGAUUUCUGCGGAUGUAGUCGAGCCCAGAAUCGACUACUGGUUUUAUUGUGAAGGCAAAAUUAUUGCCCAAAUUUUCAAGUAAAGAGUUAGUCUUUUUAGCCUUCUUUUUCCAAAAUAGUAAACAUGCAGAUUUUAAUAUUUAGUCUUGGUAAAUGGUGGUUCUAUGCCUAGAAGAACAACUUCAGAGAAAGGUACUAAUUGAGAUUAUCAUUGGAGUUAGAAAAAACUGUUUCCUUAUCAAUUAAAAAAAAAAAAAAGUUAAAUAUCAAAAUCUAGCUCUUUAUUCAGAAUUGGGAUGCACUUUAAUUCUUUAUGUAAUAAAACAUAACUAAUUCAUUAAAAGAAAGUGUGCCUGGGAUGUAUCAGAUUUACACACAAAAUCAUGGUCUGCUUUUUAUGGAGAACAGAGCAAGUCUCUGCUUCUGGAAAAUAACCUGUCCAAUUGGUUAUUUUGGGAUGUGGCAAGCUCCUACCAGAGAAAAAGAUCAGCUGUGAAGUCAAAACCCAAGUAAAAUGAGAGAUUGGCUAUAUAAGAGAGUGAUGAAAAAAAAUAAAUGUUUUCUGUGCUCUAACCACACUUCCUUUUUUUUUUUUAAUUACAGAAUAUCAGUGGGUAACAGCUGAAUGAUCUGGCUCCUAAAUUCUCUUUAGUUUAAAAUUAAGGAAAUUUAUAGUUAUCCUUGUUAUAAGUUUGUAUAGAUUUAGCUCAUUUUGAUGGUUCUCAGAUGAAAUUUGUGGUUAUCUUGCAGGGACUCUGACAUUGACAAGUGGGAGAAUUAAUGUCUGUGUAACACUUAGCUGUGUAUGAAUCAUGAAGGAAUAUUUUUGCUCUGAUGUCACUGGGUAAAACAUCUUUGGAUCUGUAUUUUGUUUCCCCCUGCUGUCUUAUUUCCAAGUAAGAUUGAUAAAUGCUAAGAAAAAUGCCGCUUUUAUAGAGAGUGUUUUAGGAGUUGUUAAAGUUAACAAACUUGGAAGAGUAAGACAAGUAAGUGCAGCAUGUCCUGUUACAUGAUAUCUACCUCUUCAAACGCAUAUUGUACAUAGCAGCUCCCCAUGCUUACAGAAAGCCAUCUGCUCUUCAAAUGCAGUUGUAAAUAGAUAUAAGUCUUCUAGACCUAGAGUAUGUACAGACUCCCACUGAACAAUAUUGAUUCUAUAGAAAGGAGGUUGACCUUGGAGCUGGGACCUGCAGGAGCCGGGGUUGUUGUUGUGCCCCGUGGGCUGUGAAGCUGAUGGUAUGCAGGAGUCCUUCUCUCUCUGUCCAAAGCUUGUGUUAAUGGGUAUUUCUGUCUGUUUCUUAUCCUCCCUUUCAGCAGUUUGUAGUUAUCUGGAAACUGAAGAAAACGGUCUUUUCCUGUACUUCAGUUUACCACCUUCAGUGGUCUCAAAAAUAACAGCCAAAUUCUCUUCUCAGCUAUUAAGUAAAAAAGGGAACUCUUUGCAAAGCUUAUUUGUGCUUUUGCUGCUUUCUAACAAAUAUAACCAAACAUUGUAAAUAUUUUUCCUUGGUUCAUUUAAUAUAAAUAGAAAGUCCUGUAAAGGAGUGAAUUUAUCUAAUAAUAUCUAACCAGGUAAUGAGAUCUUGAUUCAUUAAUUUGUCCCUUGGCAUCUUGGGCAUAUGAAGCAGAUCAACAAAUUUUUUGUAUUGGUAAUUUAUUCUGUGAUGCUGUGUUUGAUGGUGUUUAUUUUUUUGAUCAAAUAGGAUCUUUUCCCAUAUAAUUCCUCAUCUGCUAAUAACAAGCAUGGUCUAUAACUCAUGUUGACUUAUCCUCAUGAGAGACUUGCUCGCAUUCACUCCCAAGAGUAAAUAUUAAGAUGACAUAUUAUUAAGGAGUGUUAAAUAUUUAAAUUUAUUAGCAGAUGGGACUUAAUUUUUUUUUCUGCUCAUCAUAGAGUUGUUUAUAGAAGUACAGCAUUAUUAAAAAUUUGGUCAUACUAUAAAAUAUCUGGCUAAAAUAUGGCAAGAAAAGUCCAUCUUCGGAAAGAAUGUGCCAAGGCCCUUAGGGCUAUACCACGGCUUUACUUUGAUUCAUCUGUGUUAAUUAGCUGCUUCCUUAUCCCACCUCUGAACCAAGCAGCAGAUGUCAUCCACCUUAAUUCAGUUCCUCCAAAGAGUAUGUACUACUGGAGUUGUGUCAUUUCAUUUUAAAAGGAGUUCUGGUACAGCCUCUAUUAAAGACACAAAGCAGUGUUAUCUCAUUGAUUCCAGUAGCCACCUCAGUAUCCUUCUGCUAAAUGGCAAGUAGAGAGCACAGGCUACCUGUGAUUCAUACCCUUGCAAAACCAGAUGUACACAUCCCUUUCCAUUGUUUAUAUUAAUAUGGAGGUCCUACAGGGAGCUGCUUGCUCUUACUUUAUGGUGCUGUCAGCGAGUGCAGUUUUGUGAGGGAAAAUGAAGGGAAACACACUGCAGGGCUACAUUAACCAUGGAUUUUCUCAAAGCAGAUUCCAAGACCUCCUUGCUCAAAUGCCUCCAAGCAGAGGAACGCCUUGUCUUUAGACACUGACUAGAAAUUGGGGUGGGCAUCAAUAUCAGUAAGGCACAGCGACCUCCAGAUGCACUUGGGGAGCCUUGCUAGUCCCAGGAUGCAAAAUUGUGUUAUCCAAAGGGCUGAGAUAGCAUGAUCUUUGUCAUGUAGCAAAUCAGCUUUUGGAAGGUUCUGAUCUCUUUGGGUUGUCACCAUUUCUUGAACUUUUCAUGGAGUGCUACAACUUUGUUCUUGUACCAAGGUGAACUGUGCACUUCCUGUGCACAUCCGGUGCACCAGAAAUUAGGCUGAGUGAACAUAAAUUACCUGAACAUGUUGUCAGUCUUCCAAAGUGAGGAAUAUAUAUGAAGUAUUUUUCUACUCUGAAACCCCAAUUCUGCUAGAAGGAAUAACUUCAAGGAAGAGUCAUCCAGAGUAAAAUCUUCUGGGCUGCAGUAAGUAUGGAAGUGGACACCAUGAUCUUUUUUGACCUUAAACUCUGCAGAAUUAAGUUGGUUUUGUGCAACCUAUUUUUAAGGCCACCCUUCUGUAAAAGUUGCCACCACUGCCAACCCAUUUGUGAUUCUCCUGACAAGUUAAAUGGAUGAAGAAAAGGUGGUGAGUUGAAAUCCGGUUUAUUUUCUGAGUUCUGUGAGUGUCUAGGUAUUAUCCCAUGUGUCCAAGAGAAGAAUGUGUAGAAUAAUAGCACUGUAUUUGGAAAUACGAUCAUGUUUUCUGUCUUCCUCUAUUUAAUGUACAUUGGCCAUAGCUUUUCAUUUACUUGCAUUUAGGUCGUGCAUUUAGGCAUGCAUCCUCCCUGGAUUACAUUCUCCAAAGCUAGCAGGCUGCAUUGCUCCAUUGAUUUCAGUGGAGUUAUGACUAUUUAUGCAUCAGUCAUGUAUAGGAAAGCAUAAUGAAGGGUUCAUUCAAAACCAGAAUUGAAUAUCUUGCAAUCCAUCCUCACCCUCUGCCCUCAAGAAUAAAAUAGAAAUAAUUUAAUAGAUAAUUUUUUCUUUUUUUUUUUUUUCUUUUUUUCCCAGAAUACUGAAAAUGUGUCUUGCUCUGGGAUAGAUGAUUUGGGUUUAGUGCAAAAUUUUCACUGCCUGUUUGCCAUUUUUCCUCAUACCUGCUGUCGGAAAUGCAUCAGGAAACACAAGCGAGUCUAACUGACAGCUCUGUGGAGGCGAAGAUAUGAAAUCUUGGAACUGUCAUACUGGAUCCAAAGUGCAGUCUACUUGAUUUUCCUUCCCACUCCUGGCACACAAAAUUGCUUCUCUUUUCACCAACCAUCUUGAGUCUUCCAGUGUGUCAUAGAGGAGAAAGGGGAGUAAAACUCUUAAUGGCUGCUCCUCAGUAAAAGUGACUGGAGCCAUUGAAAAUGGUGGUGUCGAGGUGUUGCCCACUGUCCUUUGCCCGGUGCUACUGCCCUAGGAAAUUUGGAAAGGGAUAUGAGUUGCAACUUGGAAGCUGCAACUGAGAGAAACAGAAAUUAUUGUUCCUAAAUGUGGAUCUAGACUGGAGAGAUGUCAGACUAACAGGCUGAAGCUGCAUGUUUUAUACUUGGCUUUGUGUAUGGACCAAUGGGUGGAAGAAGAAUUAAAUAAUUCUGAGUUGAGAAAAUAAAAAAAAACCCAGCUCUUCAAAAGGAAAAA